AGGACGAACGCUGGCGGCACGCUUAACACAUGCAAGUCGAACGGAGGUAUUUGGUUACUGAGAUACCUUAGUGGCGGACGGGUGAGUAACACGUGAGCAACCUACCUUAGAGAGAGGGAUAGCUUCUGGAAACGGAUGGUAAUACCUCAUAACAUAACUGAACCGCAUGAUUUGGUUAUCAAAGAUUUAUCACUCUGAGAUGGGCUCGCGUCUGAUUAGAUAGUUGGUGAGGUAACGGCUCACCAAGUCGACGAUCAGUAGCCGGACUGAGAGGUUGAACGGCCACGUUGGGACUGAGACACGGCCCAGACUCCUACGGGAGGCAGCAGUGGGGAAUAUUGCACAAUGGGGGAAACCCUGAUGCAGCGAUGCCGCGUGGAGGAAGAAGGUUUUCGGAUUGUAAACUCCUGUCUUAAAGGACGAUAAUGACGGUACUUUAGGAGGAAGCUCCGGCUAACUACGUGCCAGCAGCUGC
This 475-nucleotide ribosomal RNA is filed under the name uncultured bacterium. Its description in RNAcentral is "bacterial SSU rRNA". It matches the Rfam family "Bacterial small subunit ribosomal RNA", at positions 26 to 518 of the family's 1533-position model. The record is from RNAcentral.